AUUGAACGCUGGCGGCAUGCCUUACACAUGCAAGUCGAACGGUAGAGGGGGCAACCCCUUGAGAGUGGCGAACGGGAGAGUAAAGCAUCGGAACGCGCCCAGGAGUGGGGGAUAGCUCGGCGAAAGCCGGAUUAAUACCGCAUGUUACUUGAGGGUGAAAGCGGGGGACCGCAAGGCCUCGCGCUGGUGGAGCGGCCGAUGUCAGAUUAGUGAGUUGGUGGGGUAAAGGCCUACCAAGCCGACGAUUUGUGGCUGGUCUGAGAGGACGACCAGCCACACUGGGACUGAGACACGGCCCAGACUCCUACGGGAGGCAGCAGUGGGGAAUUUUGGACAAUGGGCGCAAGCCUGAUCCAGCCAUGCCGCGUGCGGGAAGAAGGCCUUCGGGUUGUAAACCGCUUUUGUCAGGGAAGAAAUCUGCCGGGUUAAUACCCUGGUGGGAUGACGGUACCUGGAGAAUAAGCACCGGCUAACUACGUGCCAGCCGCCGCCGUAA
RNAcentral lists this ribosomal RNA (496 nucleotides) under uncultured bacterium. RNAcentral's name for it is "partial 16S ribosomal RNA". It matches the Rfam family "Bacterial small subunit ribosomal RNA", at positions 29 to 523 of the family's 1533-position model. The record is from RNAcentral.